This 78-nucleotide transfer RNA is filed under the name Hemiselmis tepida. It matches the Rfam family "tRNA". From Rfam's summary of the family: Transfer RNA (tRNA) molecules are approximately 80 nucleotides in length. Their secondary structure includes four short double-helical elements and three loops (D, anti-codon, and T loops). Lineage: Eukaryota; Cryptophyceae; Cryptomonadales; Hemiselmidaceae. The record is from RNAcentral.
AGAGUAGCCAAGUGGUCAAAGGCGAUAGACUGUAAAUUUAUUGGCGUUAGCUUUCGUAGGUUCAAAUCCUACCUCUUU